GGGCCGGUAGCUCAGUGGUAGAGCAGGAGCCUUUUAAGCUCUUGGUCGUGGGUUCGAAUCCCUCCCGGCUCA
Molecule: transfer RNA, 72 nt
Filed under: bacterium
Lineage: Bacteria
Also listed under: 1 other name
Description: tRNA-Lys
Rfam family: tRNA
About the family: Transfer RNA (tRNA) molecules are approximately 80 nucleotides in length. Their secondary structure includes four short double-helical elements and three loops (D, anti-codon, and T loops).
Source: RNAcentral